Molecule: ribosomal RNA, 301 nt
Filed under: uncultured bacterium
Lineage: Bacteria
Description: partial 16S ribosomal RNA
Rfam family: Bacterial small subunit ribosomal RNA
Source: RNAcentral
CAGUCGCCGCGGGAAUACGAAGGGUGCAAGCGUUACUCGGAAUUACUGGGCGUAAAGCGUGCGUAGGUGGUGGUUUAAGUCCGUUGUGAAAGCCCUGGGCUCAACCUGGGAAUUGCAGUGGAUACUGGGUCACUAGAGUGUGGUAGAGGAUAGUGGAAUUUCCGGUGUAGCAGUGAAAUGCGUAGAGAUCGGAAGGAACAUCUGUGGCGAAGGCGACUAUCUGGACUGAUACUGACACUGAGGUGCGAAAGCGUGGGGAGCAAACAGGAUUAGAUACCCCCGUAGUCCCUGUCUCUUAUAC